AUGGCGAGGAGAUCUAGCAGGACGACAAAAUUGCAGACUGUUCUCACCGACCUCCCUGAUGCACUCAUCGUCGAGAUCCUGUCACGGCUGCCACUUAAGUCGCUGUGCUGCUGCAAGUGUGUCGACACGCACUGGUACUGCCUCAUCUCCCAUCCCGAACACCUCAAGAAGCUCCCACAGACCCUCUCCGGCUUCUUCUUUGACACUGAAGACAUAGGGCGCUGUCCCAAAGUAGCUCGGCACUUUGCCAAUAUCGGUGAACCACCUCAGAUUGAUCCCAGUUUCCCCUUCUUGCCGCCUGAGUUUGAGCUUGUCAGGCUGGAAGACUGUUGUGAUGGCCUUCUCCUGUGCUGCUCUUCUCAGCAUCCAUUCCGCCGUUUAGUUUGCAAUCCUGCUACAGAGAGAUGGGUCGUGUUACCCGCGUUGCCAGCUAACUCCAGUUGUGUAGCUCAGGAAGACACCUUUCAUUUGGUUUUCGACCGUGAUGUUUCCUCCCAUUUCCAUGUGUUUCAGAUUGUGUUGAAAGAUUGGCGGCGGGUGGCGGGCAUAAAUAUAUACUCCUCGGGAACUGGGUCAUGGAACUUCAUGGAAAGUGGGUGGGACUCUGAUUCCACAAUUUGUGGCAGAUGUGUGUUUCAUCGAGGGAUGCUGCAUUUUGUCAGCGCUCAGUCUACAGUAGUGUCGGUAGAUGUGGAGGGGAAGAAAUGGAGGGCAAUUUCAGUGCCAGAAGGAGUGGAAAGGUCUGAGCUUGGUUUUCUUGCUCGGUCCCAAGGGCACUUGCAUUACAUGGUGCACACAGGGAUUCGUCAAGAAGUUUCCAUCUGGUGUCUUGAGAAGUAUGAUUCGGAUGAAUGGACGCUGAAGCACCGUGUGAGCAAUAACAAGUUGCUGAACGCGAGAGGUAAAGUCUACUACUAUGAAUACUAUAUCAUCUCGUGUCAUCCAGAUCGUAGUUUGAUUUGCUACGCUAAUCAUCGAGACAAGACAUUGAUGGCGUAUGACACUGAUCGCGAGGAGGCUCGCGUUCUCUGCACUUUUGGGCGAGGCGAUUUGAUAUCAUGUUUUCCCUAUGUUCCGCUGUUCAGCGAUUCGAGUGUUCCCCUGAGUAGCUAG
RNAcentral lists this ribosomal RNA (1113 nucleotides) under Triticum aestivum (bread wheat). RNAcentral describes it as "partial small subunit ribosomal RNA". Lineage: Eukaryota; Viridiplantae; Streptophyta; Magnoliopsida; Poales; Poaceae. The record is from RNAcentral.